This 47-nucleotide transfer RNA is filed under the name Equus sp. UW54706. RNAcentral's name for it is "partial tRNA-Asp". Lineage: Eukaryota; Metazoa; Chordata; Mammalia; Perissodactyla; Equidae. The record is from RNAcentral.
AUAACUUUGUCAAAGUUAAAUUAUAGGUUAAACCCCUAUAUACCUCU